GUGCUGGCUUUGGCAGCACAUAUACUAAAAUUGGAACAAUACAGAGAUGAGCUUGGCCCCUGCACAAGUAUAGUGACAGAUGGCAGCUACACUUUC
Molecule: small nuclear RNA, 96 nt
Organism: Ailuropoda melanoleuca (giant panda)
Lineage: Eukaryota; Metazoa; Chordata; Mammalia; Carnivora; Ursidae
Source: Ensembl